RNAcentral lists this ribosomal RNA (498 nucleotides) under uncultured bacterium. RNAcentral's name for it is "partial 16S ribosomal RNA". It matches the Rfam family "Bacterial small subunit ribosomal RNA", at positions 29 to 523 of the family's 1533-position model. The record is from RNAcentral.
AUUGAACGCUGGCGGCAUGCCUUACACAUGCAAGUCGAACGGUAACGCGGGGCAACCUGGCGACGAGUGGCGAACGGGUGAGUAACGCAUCGGAACGUGCCCAGUAGUGGGGGAUAGCCCGGCGAAAGCCGGAUUAAUACCGCAUACGACCUACGGGUGAAAGAGGGGGAUCGCAAGACCUCUCGCUAUUGGAGCGGCCGAUGUCAGAUUAGGUAGUUGGUGGGGUAAAGGCCUACCAAGCUUACGAUCUGUAGCUGGUCUGAGAGGACGACCAGCCAAACUGGGACUGAGCACCGGCCCCGACUCCUACGGGAGGCAGCAGUGGGGAAUUUUGGACAAUGGGCGCAAGCCUGAUCCAGCCAUGCCGCGUGCGGGAAGAAGGCCUUCGGGUUGUAAACCGCUUUUGUCAGGGAAGAAACGCUCUGGACUAAUACUCUGGGGUAAUGACGGUACCUGAAGAAUAAGCACCGGCUAACUACGUGCCAGCAGCCGCCGUAA